AACGAGAGCUCAUGACACGCGAGCCCCCUCCACAACGACCUAUCGACAGCCGAGCGCGGGUCUGUAGCUCAGGCGGUUAGAGCGCACCCCUGAUAAGGUGAGGUCGGUGGUUCGAGUCCACCCAGACCCACCAACCGUGGGGCCAUAGCUCAGCCGGGAGAGCACCGGCUUUGCAAGCCGGGGGUCGGCGGUUCGAACCCGCCUGGCUCCACCACCCGGCCGAUUGGACCGCUCUGGCCUGCUGGACCCGACCCGAUACCUCAACUCAUCAUGGACUGGCGCGGUGCCCCGCGACGAGUAACCGAGAGAGUUGCGGUAUCGGCUCAACGCCACCCGCCCGAUUCCAACGAAUCGGAAGCGGAUAGCUCUUUAACAAUGUGGAAGGUGCGAUGCAUCGAAAGCGUACGGACUCAUCCUGGGUUCGUGCGCGGUAGUGAAAAGGCGAGGCCCGCCACUCCAGCCCCCGCAGGGGUUGGGGUUGGC
RNAcentral lists this unclassified non-coding RNA (483 nucleotides) under Candidatus Competibacter phosphatis. RNAcentral's name for it is "16S-23S ribosomal RNA intergenic spacer". The stretch from base 139 to 211 matches the Rfam family "tRNA". Lineage: Bacteria; Pseudomonadati; Pseudomonadota; Gammaproteobacteria; Candidatus Competibacteraceae. The record is from RNAcentral.